This 457-nucleotide ribosomal RNA is filed under the name uncultured bacterium. RNAcentral's name for it is "partial 16S ribosomal RNA". It matches the Rfam family "Bacterial small subunit ribosomal RNA", at positions 338 to 795 of the family's 1533-position model. The record is from RNAcentral.
CCUACGGGGGGCAGCAGUGGGGAAUAUUGCACAAUGGGGGAAACCCUGAUGCAGCGACGCCGCGUGAGUGAAGAAGUAAUUCGUUACGUAAAGCUCUAUCAGCAGGGAAGAAACACUGACCUUACGGUCAGCAGACGGUACCUGAGUAAGAAGCCCCGGCUAACUACGUGCCAGCAGCCGCGGUAAUACGUAGGGGGCAAGCGUUAUCCGGAUUUACGGGGUGUAAGGGAGCGUAGACGGUGCGCCAAGUCUGGAGUGAAAUGCCGCAGCUUAACUGCGGAACUGCUUUGGAAACUGGCGAACUAGAGUGCGGGAGGGGUAAGCGGAAUUCCUGGUGUAGCAGUGAAAGGCGUAGAUAUCAGGAGGAACACCGGUGGCGAAGGCGGCUUACUGGACCGUAACUGACGUUGAGGCUCGAAAGCGUGGGGAGCAAACAGGAUUAGAUACCCCAGUAGUC